UGCUUUUAGGGGUGGUGUGGCGGGUGCCAUGGAAGUGGUAAUGCAUGUGUUGAUGCAGGGAUUAUGCAAGCUGAAACUUGUUCUCAGGGGCCAUGUCAGAUGUGUGAGAAUACCUGGACUCCUGGUUUUCCUCCAUAGUAAAGGGGUGUUCUCCCACUCUCUACAAGUCUCUUCAUGCCAGAGGGUUUUCAAGACUCCCAUUUAGUGGCCAGGAGGAUUUCAUUGGGUUUCUUUCUGUGACUGCCUUCUCCACUGUAAUUGGGUGACCCAGCGAGUUUGGACCUGCCCAGGGGUGUUUUAGAGAUGCCCUUUUACGGCCUGAUUCCUUUAGACCCACAGAUGUGAUUAGCGAACUGUUGAUGUAAUGUUUGUGCUAAUGUAAUAAGCUCCAAGUUGCUUAUUUCUUGGCAAGUAUGUUUAUACACUG
This 427-nucleotide long non-coding RNA is filed under the name Androctonus crassicauda. Lineage: Eukaryota; Metazoa; Arthropoda; Arachnida; Scorpiones; Buthidae. The record is from RNAcentral.